RNAcentral lists this ribosomal RNA (492 nucleotides) under uncultured bacterium. RNAcentral's name for it is "partial 16S ribosomal RNA". It matches the Rfam family "Bacterial small subunit ribosomal RNA", at positions 29 to 507 of the family's 1533-position model. The record is from RNAcentral.
AGUGAACGCUGGCGGUAGGCCUAACACAUGCAAGUCGAACGGCAGCACAGUAAGAGCUUGCUCUUACGGGUGGCGAGUGGCGGACGGGUGAGGAAUACAUCGGAAUCUACUUUUUCGUGGGGGAUAACGUAGGGAAACUUACGCUAAUACCGCAUACGACCUACGGGUGAAAGCAGGGGAUCUUCGGACCUUGCGCGAUUGAAUGAGCCGAUGUCGGAUUAGCUAGUUGGCGGGGUAAAGGCCCACCAAGGCGACGAUCCGUAGCUGGUCUGAGAGGAUGAUCAGCCACACUGGAACUGAGACACGGUCCAGACUCCUACGGGAGGCAGCAGUGGGGAAUAUUGAACAAUGGGCGCAAGCCUGAUCCAGCCAUACCGCGUGGGUGAAGAAGGCCUUCGGGUUGUAAAGCCCUUUUGUUGGGGAAGAAAAGCAGCAGGUUAAUACCCCGCUGUUCUGACGGUACCCAAAGAAUAAGCACCGGCUAACUUCGUG